RNAcentral lists this ribosomal RNA (492 nucleotides) under uncultured bacterium. Its description in RNAcentral is "partial 16S ribosomal RNA". It matches the Rfam family "Bacterial small subunit ribosomal RNA", at positions 29 to 507 of the family's 1533-position model. The record is from RNAcentral.
AGUGAACGCUGGCGGUAGGCCUAACACAUGCAAGUCGAACGGCAGCACAGUAAGAGCUUGCUCUUACGGGUGGCGAGUGGCGGACGGGUGAGGAAUACAUCGGAAUCUACUUUUUCGUGGGGGAUAACGUAGGGAAACUUACGCUAAUACCGCAUACGACCUACGGGUGAAAGCAGGGGAUCUUCGGACCUUGCGCGAUUGAAUGAGCCGAUGUCGGAUUAGCUAGUUGGCGGGGUAAAGGCCCACCAAGGCGACGAUCCGUAGCUGGUCUGAGAGGAUGCUCAGCCACACUCGAACUGAGACACGGUCCAGACUCCUACGGGAGGCAGCAGUGGGGAAUAUUGGACAAUGGGCGGAAGCCUGAUCCAGCCAUACCGCGUGGGUGAAGAAGGCCUUCGGGUUGUAAAGCCCUUUUGUUGGGAAAGAAAAGCAGCAGGUUAAUACCCCGCUGUUCUGACGGUACCCAAAGAAUAAGCACCGGCUAACUUCGUG